This 484-nucleotide ribosomal RNA is filed under the name uncultured bacterium. Its description in RNAcentral is "partial 16S ribosomal RNA". It matches the Rfam family "Bacterial small subunit ribosomal RNA", at positions 29 to 507 of the family's 1533-position model. The record is from RNAcentral.
AUUGAACGCUGGCGGCAUGCUUUACACAUGCAAGUCGAACGGCAGCGCGGGCUUCGGCCUGGCGGCGAGUGGCGAACGGGUGAGUAAUGCAUCGGAACGUGCCCAGUAGUGGGGGAUAGCCCGGCGAAAGCCGGAUUAAUACCGCAUACGACCUGAGGUUGAAAGCGGGGGUCCGAAAGUCCUCUCGCUCUUUUAGCGGCCGAUGUCGGAUUAGCUAGUUGGUGUGGUAAAGGCUUACCAAGGCGACGAUCCGUAGCUGGUCUGAGAGGACGACCAGCCACACUGGGACUGAGACACGGCCCAGACUCCUACGGGAGGCAGCAGUGGGGAAUGUUGGACAAUGGGGGCAACCAUGAUACAGCCAUGCCGCGUGCGGGAAGAAGGCCUUCGGGUUGUAAACCGCUUUUGUUCGGGAAGAAAUCCUCUGGGCUAAUACCCCGGGGGGAUGACGGUACCGGAAGAAUAAGCACCGGCUAACUACGUG